RNAcentral lists this unclassified non-coding RNA (432 nucleotides) under soil metagenome. Its description in RNAcentral is "partial contains 5.8S ribosomal RNA, internal transcribed spacer 2, and large subunit ribosomal RNA". The stretch from base 1 to 120 matches the Rfam family "5.8S ribosomal RNA", at positions 35 to 154 of the family's 154-position model. The record is from RNAcentral.
GAUGAAGAACGCAGCGAAAUGCGAUACGUAAUGUGAAUUGCAGAAUUCAGUGAAUCAUCGAAUCUUUGAACGCAUAUUGCGCUCUCUGGUAUUCCGGAGAGCAUGCUUGUUUGAGUAUCAGUAAACACCUCAACUUCCAUAUCUUUUUUGAAAUGGGAGUUGGACUUGAGUGAUCCCAACGCUUUUCCUCACCGAAAAGUGGCGGGUUACUUGAAAUGCAGGUGCAGCUGGACUUUUCUCUGAGCUAUAAGCAUAUCUAUUUAGUCUGCCUAAAAAACAGAUUAUUACCUUUGCUGCAGCUAACAUAAAGGAGAUUAGUUCUUGUGCUGACUGAUGCAGGAUUCACAAAGACAGGCUUCGGCCGACUUUGUAAACUCGAUCUCAAAUCAAGUAAGACUACCCGCUGAACUUAAGCAUAUCAAUAACGGAGGA